Malania oleifera is the source of this 726-nucleotide long non-coding RNA. RefSeq lists it as uncharacterized. Lineage: Eukaryota; Viridiplantae; Streptophyta; Magnoliopsida; Santalales; Ximeniaceae. The transcript is spliced from 2 exons. The record is from RefSeq and is a predicted model, not a curated record.
UUCCAGUGUCCCUCCAACGAACGAGCACAGCGGCGUCGUCGUGCUCUCUUUAUAUGUGUCAGGUAGUUCCGUAGGUCGUCCGGUAUUCCGUUUAGACCGAUUCCGUUGAGAUUUCCGCCCAAAAUCCCGUGUGGGCCCGCUCCUCCAUAUCAUCCCGUCAUUGAACUCUUUCCUUUCUGCUCUGCACAUCCUCUACGUGCUGGGUUUUGGUUUUUCUCCCGUCUCAGAUUAAAACAGAGCUUCGGAUCGUCGAUUGGAUCUCUACGACCUUUCUACCAGGAUCUCCGAUCGGGAAUACAAGGAUGUCUUUCCUGUGGACGUGCGCAGUGGUUUGCCACCAAUUAGAGGAAUUGAGCAUCAGAUUGACUUCAUUCCCGGGGCUACGAUUCCCAACCGUCCAGCCUAUAGGAGCAGCCCCGAGGAGACUAAGGAACUUCAAAGACAAGUUGAGGAGCUGCUUGCUAAGGGGCAUGUGAGGGAGAGCAUGAGUCCAUGUGCGGUACCCGUGCUACUGGUACCGAAGAAAGAUGGAUCAUGGAGGAUGUGCGUCGAUUGUAGAGCCAUCAAUAAAAUCACUGUAAAGUAUCGCCAUCCUAUCCCUAGACUAGAUGACAUGUUAGAUGAACUGCAUAGCUCUUGCAUCUUUUCUAAAAUUGAUUUAAAAAGUGGCUACCAUCAAAUAAGAAUGAAACCGGGUGAUGAAUAGAAAACUGCAUUUAAGACAAA